RNAcentral lists this transfer RNA (74 nucleotides) under Crassvirales sp. RNAcentral describes it as "tRNA-Arg". It matches the Rfam family "tRNA". From Rfam's summary of the family: Transfer RNA (tRNA) molecules are approximately 80 nucleotides in length. Their secondary structure includes four short double-helical elements and three loops (D, anti-codon, and T loops). Lineage: Duplodnaviria; Heunggongvirae; Uroviricota; Caudoviricetes; Crassvirales. The record is from RNAcentral.
GCUGCCAUAGCUCAAUUGGAUAGAGCAACAGCCUUCUAAGCUGUGGGUUCUGAGUUCGAGUCUCAGUGGUAGUA